UACGUAUGGUGCAAGCGUUAUCCGGAUUUACUGGGCGUAAAGGGAGCGCAGGCGGCGCGCCAAGUCUGAUGUGAAGUCCCGGGGCUCAACCCCGGGCAUGCAUUGGAAACUGGCGGGCUGGAGUGCCGGAGAGGUAAGCGGAAUUCCUAGUGUAGCGGUGAAAUGCGUAGAUAUUAGGAGGAACACCAGUGGCGAAGGCGGCUUACUGGACGGCAACUGACGCUGAGGCUCGAAAGCGUGGGGAGCAAACAGG
RNAcentral lists this ribosomal RNA (253 nucleotides) under uncultured bacterium. RNAcentral describes it as "partial 16S ribosomal RNA". It matches the Rfam family "Bacterial small subunit ribosomal RNA", at positions 524 to 776 of the family's 1533-position model. The record is from RNAcentral.